UACGUAGGGUGCAAGCGUUGUCCGGAAUUAUUGGGCGUAAAGCGCUCGUAGGCGGGACUGGAAGUCCGUGUUGAAAGACCUCGGCUCAACUGAGGGACCGGCUCGGAUACUCUAGUUCUUGAGGCAAUCAGAGGGUGAUGGAAUUCCCGGUGUAGCGGUGAAACGCGUAGAUAUCGAGAGGAACACCUGUGGCGAAGGCGGCCAACUGGACGAGUACUGACGCUGAGACACGAAAGCGUGGGGAGCAAACAGG
This 253-nucleotide ribosomal RNA is filed under the name uncultured bacterium. RNAcentral's name for it is "partial 16S ribosomal RNA". It matches the Rfam family "Bacterial small subunit ribosomal RNA", at positions 524 to 776 of the family's 1533-position model. The record is from RNAcentral.